GAUGAACGCUAGCUACAGGCUUAACACAUGCAAGUCGAGGGGAAACGACAUCGAAAGCUUGCUUUUGAUGGGCGUCGACCGGCGCACGGGUGAGUAACGCGUAUCCAACCUGCCCAUCACUUGGGAAUAACCUUGCGAAAGUAAGACUAAUACCCAAUGACAUCCCACGAAGACAUCUGAAUGGGAUUAAAGAUUUAUCGGUGAUGGAUGGGGAUGCGUCUGAUUAGCUUGUUGGCGGGGUAACGGCCCACCAAGGCAACGAUCAGUAGGGGUUCUGAGAGGAAGGUCCCCCACAUUGGAACUGAGACACGGUCCAAACUCCUACGGGAGGCAGCAGUGAGGAAUAUUGGUCAAUGGGCGAGAGCCUGAACCAGCCAAGUAGCGUGCAGGAGGACGGCCCUAUGGGUUGUAAACUGCUUUUAUAAGGGAAUAAAGUGGGUCUCGGGAGACUUUUUGCAUGUACCUUAUGAAUAAGGACCGGCUAAUUCCGUG
Molecule: ribosomal RNA, 492 nt
Filed under: uncultured bacterium
Lineage: Bacteria
Description: partial 16S ribosomal RNA
Rfam family: Bacterial small subunit ribosomal RNA
Source: RNAcentral